Molecule: ribosomal RNA, 788 nt
Filed under: uncultured bacterium
Lineage: Bacteria
Description: bacterial SSU rRNA
Rfam family: Bacterial small subunit ribosomal RNA
Source: RNAcentral
AGAGUUUGAUCAUGGCUCAGAUUGAACGCUGGCGGAAUGCUUUACACAUGCAAGUCGAGCGGCAGCGCGGGGCNNCCUGGCGGCGAGCGCGAACGGGUGAGUAAUGCAUCGGAACGUGUCCAUGUCGUGGGGGAUAGCCCGGCGAAAGCCGGAUUAAUACCCAUACGCCCGAGAGGGGAAAGUGGGGGACCGCAAGCCUCACGCGAUUGGAUCGGCCGAUGUCCGAUUAGCUAGUUGGCGGGGUAAAGGCCCACCAAGGCGAUGAUCGGUAGCUGGUCUGAAGAGGAUGAUCAGCCACACUGGGACUGAGACACGGCCCAGACUCCUACGGGAGGCAGCAGUGGGGAAUUUUGGACAAUGGGGGCAACCCUGAUCCAGCCAUUCCGCGUGAGUGAAGAAGGCCUUCGGGUUGUAAAGCUCUUUUGUCCGGAACGAAACGGGCGACGUGAAUAUCGUCGUCUACUGACGGUACCGGGAGAAUAAGCACCGGCUAACUACGUGCCAGCAGCCGCGGUAAUACGUAGGGUGCGAGCGUUAAUCGGAAUUACUGGGCGUAAAGCGUGCGCAGGCGGUUUUGUAAGCCGGAUGUGAAACCCCCGGGCUUAACCUGGGAAUGGCAUUCGGGACUGCAAGGCUGGAGUGCGGCAGAGGAGACUGGAAUUCCUGGUAGCAGUGAAAUGCGUAGAUAUCAGGAGGAACACCGAUGGCGAAGGCAGGUCUCUGGGCUGACACUGACGCUCAUGCACGAAAGCGUGGGGAGCAAACAGGAUUAGAUACCCUAGUAGUCC